This 445-nucleotide ribosomal RNA is filed under the name uncultured bacterium. Its description in RNAcentral is "partial 16S ribosomal RNA". It matches the Rfam family "Bacterial small subunit ribosomal RNA", at positions 354 to 796 of the family's 1533-position model. The record is from RNAcentral.
GUGAGGAAUAUUGGUCAAUGGGCGAGAGCCUGAACCAGCCAAGUCGCGUGAAGGAUGAAGGUUUUAUGAAUUGUAAACUUCUUUUGCAGGGGAAUAAAGUACGGUACGUGUACCGUUUUGUAUGUACUCUGCGAAUAAGGAUCGACUAACUCCGUGCCAGCAGCCGCGGUAAUACGGAGGAUCCGAGCGUUAUCCGGAUUUAUUGGGUUUAAAGGGUGCGUAGGUGGUGUGAUAAGUCAGCGGUGAAAGUUUGCAGCUUAACUGUAAAAAUGCCGUUGAAACUGUCGGACUUGAGUGUAAAUGAGGUAGGCGGAAUGCGUGGUGUAGCGGUGAAAUGCAUAGAUAUCACGCAGAACUCCGAUUGCGAAGGCAGCUUACUAAGCUACAACUGACACUGAAGCACGAAAGCGUGGGGAUCAAACAGGAUUAGAUACCCGAGUAGUCC